Molecule: long non-coding RNA, 1975 nt
Organism: Gavialis gangeticus (Gharial)
Lineage: Eukaryota; Metazoa; Chordata; Crocodylia; Gavialidae
Exons: 3
Source: RefSeq, a predicted model, not a curated record
CAGGAAAGAAGUUUCAAGCAGAGGAAGCAGGAUGGGAAGAAGCCUGCUCUCUGUCCCUAACUGCUAUUUAUCAAGUAUUGUGAAGUGCACAGAAAACAUUAGAAGCAAGCGUUCAUUUCCCCCUAACUACAGCAGCAUACAGCUCCCUGAGCCACAGUCAGACUCCCUCUUGCUUGUUCUCCUUCCAUCCCUGUGGCUUAGCCUCAACAGGAAGGGGUUCUUAGCCCUGCCUGCCCUGAGGGUUAAGUAUCUCUCUUCCGGUGUGAGCAUCAGGAUCCAAAUCCCACUAGGGGGAAGCAAACCUUGACCCUGGGUCUUCUAUGUUCCUCCUGUCUGAAUUAGCACUCUAACCACUAGGCUGCUGAGCAAAAGGAUACACACCCCAUGACUUUUGGUCAGCUACAGUUUCUAUGAUUUACAGAGCACUUCUGGGCAUCCAGAGCAGACCUGAAUUGACAUGGAGCAAAGAUGGACUGGGAUACAUUUGACACAGCACUGAUUCCCUUUGAGCAUGCACAGCAGGGACAGACUGAAUCAGAUAGGGGGAAACAGCACCUGCAAAUUAGGCUGUUAUGCAAGGUAAAGUACAAUGUUAAUGGGAAGCAGGGAUAUUUAAGAACUGCACAAGUGAUGCUCCUAAAUUUUAGUCAGUGAAACAGACUUCUGCCCUCAGUAUCUCUGACUGUUGUUUUACAUCAUAGAUCUGCAUGGUAUUAUUUUCAUGAAAUUGGUGGGACCUCACAGGACCCCAAAUCAUAUUCAUUUGUUGUUGCUGCUGCUGCUGCUUUGCUUUCUCUGCUGUUUCCCAUCUGUUUUAAGACCCAGUGACUCUGGCAUUUGGUUUUCUGUUGAACAAAAUGUCAGCAGAUGACAACUCAUGCUCCAUUAAUGCUGUUCUGUAAUUUAACAGUGAUCCAUAAGGAUCAGAGCCACACUGUGGACCUUUUUAAUGCAAACUUACUUACAUCUAUAUAAUUUUUUUACCAGCUUUAGGUCAGUCAUAAACUUCUCCUUUUUUGUACACUGUUUUAAAACCGCAUUUUCCACCUAUUUCUUUUUCACAUAAGUGGCAGUUCCAUUGCUAACCUUCUCUGUCUGAGUGAACUGAAAACUAUUGAAAACAUCAGGUACUUCAGAAGCACUUCUUCAGAGGGCUACUUUUGGACUGUCUUCAUGCUUGUGGGCUCCCACUUCUUGCAGAUACAAAGUAAAAAGCCGUUUAAACCCUCCCCGGCUGACCUGCAUGUUUCCACAGACUUUCAAUGCUGGUGGGACUUCUAACUGAUCCUUUUUUCCACUUUGGGCAUUUUCCUAAUUCAUUUUACUACCUUGUCUUUGCUACAUAGCCUGUGUUCAAAAAAUCUCUCAGAACCAGAGUCUGAAAAGAAAGGUCUGCUUUAUCUCGUAUCUGAGUUUUAAUGCAUCAGCAUUAUGUCAUCAUAUGCCUCUGAGCAACACGACAACCAGUUCCAACUAGCUCUUGCAAGUAAUUCUCAAAGGAAGAAUUCCCCACACCAUGGAGUCCAGGGAUUGAAAAGAAACUGCCACAGAACUUCCCUGAGGAAGUCUGUGCUCAAAAGAAAUCCUGCAUAGUCAUGGGUGCAUCCAGGAUUUUGUAAAGUAGGGUGCAGGAACAUUGCAUGGGUGGCUGCACAUCUGCUCCCAGCUUCCACCCACCACCGGUGGGGCAGACCCUGCAGCAGAAGCAGGAGUGCAGGACUAAGUCCCCAGUCAGACUAGGCAAUGCUGACCCUUCCCCACUCCAGCUGGACUGCAUAGGAAGCCAGAAUCAGCGGAGGAUAGCCACAGCAGUGUUAGCAGUUCCUAAUCUAUGCCCGAUGGGUCCAUGAACUGAGAUUAUGCUACUCAAGCUUCAGAUGACACAUCUACCUGGAGUCUAACAAACUGGACUUAAUAAAAUCUUUGACUUAUUUUAUUUUCUUUUGUUAGCACAAUAAAUACAUUGGUUGCAAUU